GGGGAUGUAAAGGUUUCGACGUGGAUGGUUGUAUCAUGAAUAGCGAGCCGGGGUGUCAUCUGCCCGUAAAUCGGUGAAAACGUUAAAUUAAACGCUAAAGAAGAAAACUUUGCUUUAGCUGCCUAAGUGCAGCUAACGUCCCGUUUCUCCAUUCCUGCGGGCGGAAUGGGGCGUCAUAUAGCAGGAUACCUGCCGGCCUUACCUGGAAGCCGGUACGGGAAUCUCACAGGCUGGAGUCAGUCUAGUUUGUCCUUGUACGACAACUGCUCGAGAUAACUAACAAGGUCUGCGCUCGGAGAAGUUCAUGGGGCAGCAUUUACGGACAGGAGUUCGACUCUCCUCAUCUCCACCA
This 352-nucleotide transfer-messenger RNA is filed under the name Megasphaera hominis. RNAcentral describes it as "Caecibacter hominis Standard tmRNA". It matches the Rfam family "transfer-messenger RNA". From Rfam's summary of the family: Bacterial tmRNA, also known as 10Sa RNA or SsrA, is named for its dual tRNA and mRNA-like properties. Its role is to liberate the mRNA from a stalled ribosome. The record is from RNAcentral. Lineage: Bacteria; Bacillati; Bacillota; Negativicutes; Veillonellales; Veillonellaceae.